AAUGGCCGAAGCAGAUGAGAGUGUGAGAUCGUGAGGGAGAGAUGAGAUCGAGAGAGAGCUAUGGUCGAGAGAAGAGAGUUCGUGAGCGAGAGAGAAAGAGAGCAGUACGAGAUCGAGGGAGCUCGGAGGCUAGACGUGACCAGCAGCAACGCUGGAAGCUGCCAUAACCGAUGAGGCAGCAGCUUUAGGGGAGCUGGAGCGUUAGUGAGGGCCGACUUCGAUGGCUGGUCGGGGUCGCGUCAGCAUGGAGCGGCUAAUGGCAGGGCUCGCGGUGACCAAGAGGCGACGACGAAGGUCGGUUGCAGUGGCCAUGGCGGACGUUGAGGUUGCAGCGCACAGGCAGUGUGCGCUCGGGAGGAGGAACCAGCCGCGGUGGCGGCGUUCGGCCAGUAGUCGCGGGCAGCCGGUGGUGGCCGCCGAGGGCGGUGCUACAAGCGGCAGCGGGCGUCGGACCAGGCGGAGGCGGCUGGAGGAGCUAGUGCAGGCAUGCGCAGAGAAGGAAGAAGAGCCACGAGGGAGAAGGGAGAAGAAGGUGAGGAAGAAAAGAAGAAUAAAGAAAAAAAGAAAAAAAUAAGAAAAGAAAAUAAGGGAAAAUGAGAAAAUUUGGAAAAAUAGCCGAAAAUUCCAGAAAAUUUGGGGAAACUUCUAGAAAUUUAAUUAGAGCUUGAGGAGUGUGCUGGAAGCUCAAAAAUUGGGAAUUUGGACUCGAAAUGGCAGCCAAAGAGGUAACGCCGGUGUAGGCAUUUGAUCGAACUUCUUCUCCAGAUUUAUCGAGGUUCGAACGGGAAGGCAGUGAUCCUAGAAGAGCUCGGAGUUCGGAUUGGCAUUCUCAUAGAGCCAGAGAUGAGGCUUCGAGCCAGAUGUUACAAGUCCAGAUGCAAGCAGGGAUGGCACCGGGAGGCUGCUGUGGCAACUAGCUGUGUUGCCCGAGUUGUGUAUUUUAUUAUCUCUUGUACGUAGCCAUGUGAUGUUAUGUAUGUAUACCCUUGUGAGUAAAUGUAUGUGUUGUUGAGCGUUAAAUGUAUUUAGUUGUUGUAAUCAUCAUAGUGUGACAAAUGAUUGUGAGAUUGUUCGUUGCAUAUAGCUUGGUUGGAGAAGCCGAGUUUCAGACCGAGUAAAGAUCAGCGAGGUAUGUUAUCAUAAAUCCCUAAUACUCAGCGAAGUGUUUGUUGUGCUAGUUUUGUGCCUGGGUCACCUCUGGCUUGCUUUGAGGCAAGCUGAAAAGAGAUGAAGCUCACUCGGGUUUCGAGUCUCGGUCCGCUGAGUUUUCUUGUUUGAGUUGGGACAGAUUCCUGAGUGGAGCGAAGGGAAGGACGAAACCUAGUUCCCUACCUAGGGCGUUUCCUGUUGAAACAUAAUCCAACCCUUCAAACAUAAUCCAACCCUUCAGUUGUGGUUCGUCGGGUGAGCAAUCCGGUCGAUUAUUUACCGGUGGCGCCUGUAAGUGGGAGCGGGUCGUUACAAUAAGGCUCCAAGAAAGAUAAUGAUUAAACAGUCCUUACAAGAUAAUUCUAGUACAAAAUUAAGUUUAAGUUUUGAUUAUCUUUAUCAUAUCAGAAUUUAAAUGUAUUCAUGUAUUUUAGGAAGAUAUUUCUGAUGUAUUCGUGUAGAUAUACCAUAUUAGAGAUCAAUGAAAGGCACGAGAAAUAGUCAUCUUUUCAAUCGAGUAUUCUUCCUACUUGUUCUAAUCCUUCUCGAGUAAUUCAUCUAAGAUACUCGAAUACAUCUUCUCGAUAUUCAUCUUGUUUAAAUCUAUUCAUAGUGUUAGAGACAAUGAUGGUUGAGAUCAAUCCCUCUACCAAUUCCUCAUUAUUAACUUCUCUAGAGGGUACAACUUCUUCUAUUCCAAACCCUAUCCAACCCUUAUCUCUCGAAAACCAUUCUCUCCAUAUCACUCAACACAAAUCAAAUGAAACCAAUUCCAGAGAAUGGUUCUAAUUCGUCUUCCUUUUUCCUAAAGGUAAAGGAAAAACAAGGUAUGUCACUGGUGUAAUUCCAAUGCCAGAUUCAGAAGCCUUACUUAUGGUGUUUGGGAUGCAGUAAAUUCCAUUGUAAUGGCAUGGCUAAUCAAUUCCAUGGAGCCUAAGAUAAGGAAAACCUAUUUGUUUUACAAGACAACCAAAGAAAUAUGGGAGGUUGUGCAAGAGAUAUACUCAUUUAGAAAAUACAUCGCAACGUUUUGAAGUGCAGUAAGAAAUUCGAGACACACAACAAGGUCAUAAAACAGUCACUGAAUAAUACAAUUCAUUAACUAAAUUAUGGCAAGAAAUGGAUUCAUUUUACUUUAUGGAUUGGAACUGUUUAGAAGAUGGUGUAAAAUUCACUCAAAUGUUUGAGAAUAAGCAGAUCUUUGAUUUCCUACUAGGAUUAAAUAAAGAUUUGGACAAGGUACAUGGCAGGUUACUAAGUACUAAAUGGUAUUUUACAUUCUUAUGAUUAGUUUUGAUGAUGAAAAACAACAUUUGGUUUUGUUGGUUUUGAUCCCCAAGUCAUGAGUCAAGUUUAUGAUUUUCAACAAAAAUCAAUUUCAAGUACCUAUGUGAAAAUGAAAACCGAAUGAUAUAUAAUUUUCUCUAAGUCUGGAAGAUUAGUACAUUAUAAGGAGAGACAUAUAUGAAAAUGUUUUCAUUUUGAAAAACUAACAACA
Molecule: long non-coding RNA, 2647 nt
Organism: Diospyros lotus (date-plum)
Lineage: Eukaryota; Viridiplantae; Streptophyta; Magnoliopsida; Ericales; Ebenaceae
Exons: 3
Source: RefSeq, a predicted model, not a curated record